This is a long non-coding RNA of Saccostrea cuccullata (small rock oyster), 563 nucleotides long. RefSeq lists it as uncharacterized. NCBI's taxonomy places the organism in Eukaryota, Metazoa, Mollusca, Bivalvia, Ostreida, Ostreidae. The transcript has 2 exons. The record is from RefSeq and is a predicted model, not a curated record.
CAACUUUCGAAAUUUUAAGACAACAUAACCUCUUGCUUCUCUCGUGACGUAAUCACAUUAAGGUGCCCACCACCAAUCCCGUGACGACUUGAGCUGAGUCAGUGCGAGGAGCAUUUGAAAUGACAUAAUUGGCUUUGUUUACCCACCCUUGCACACAGUGUCUAGGAAGAGAGCAUCGUUUGCGCAAUGUUUGAGAUUAUUUGCGAAACGUUUGAUCAUCAUAUCCAACAACGCAGGUGUUUUGUAUCUGAGACUAUUUCUGGAACAUUUGACAACGGCAGCUUGAUGGCAGUUGUUAGGCUUUUUCUUGGACCAGUUCGCAGUCACAGAACAGUUUCAUUUUUCUUUUGGAUGUAGGGUGGAAGGAACUAUUAACCCUAAAGAAACUUAUAUGACUCAUACAUUUCGAACGUUUAUACAAAACGACUAAACACUGAAGGUAUUUUCUUCUAAUUUCUGAUGGCAAAAUGUCCACUAUUGCUUCAUCAAGUAUUUCGGCACAAUUUUAUUCUGAUGCACAUAGUUGAUGAUAUUGCUUUUCAAUAAAAUUAUUCUUUUUUAAA